GAUCCUGGCUCAGGACGAACGCUGGCGGCGUGCUUAACACAUGCAAGUCGAACGAGAAUCUGUGGAACGAGGAUUCGUCCAAGUGAAGCAGAGGACAGUGGCGGACGGGUGAGUAACGCGUGAGGAACCUGCCUUUCAGAGGGGGACAACAGUUGGAAACGACUGCUAAUACCGCAUGACACAUAGAUGUCGCAUGGCAUUUAUGUCAAAGAUUUAUCGCUGAAAGA
Molecule: ribosomal RNA, 227 nt
Filed under: uncultured bacterium
Lineage: Bacteria
Description: partial 16S ribosomal RNA
Rfam family: Bacterial small subunit ribosomal RNA
Source: RNAcentral